CCUACGGGGGGCAGCAGUGGGGAAUAUUGGACAAUGGGCGAAAGCCUGAUCCAGCCAUGCCGCGUGUGUGAAGAAGGCCUUCGGGUUGUAAAGCACUUUCAGUGGGGAAGAAAGCCUUGGGGCUAAUACCCUCGAGGAAGGACAUCACCCACAGAAGAAGCACCGGCUAACUCCGUGCCAGCAGCCGCGGUAAUACGGAGGGUGCGAGCGUUAAUCGGAAUUACUGGGCGUAAAGCGCGCGUAGGCGGUCUGAUAAGCCGGUUGUGAAAGCCCCGGGCUCAACCUGGGAACGGCAUCCGGAACUGUCAGGCUAGAGUGCAGGAGAGGAAGGUAGAAUUCCCGGUGUAGCGGUGAAAUGCGUAGAGAUCGGGAGGAAUACCAGUGGCGAAGGCGGCCUUCUGGACUGACACUGACGCUGAGGUGCGAAAGCGUGGGUAGCAAACAGGAUUAGAUACCCAUAGUC
This 463-nucleotide ribosomal RNA is filed under the name Vreelandella stevensii. RNAcentral's name for it is "partial 16S ribosomal RNA". It matches the Rfam family "Bacterial small subunit ribosomal RNA", at positions 338 to 795 of the family's 1533-position model. Lineage: Bacteria; Pseudomonadati; Pseudomonadota; Gammaproteobacteria; Oceanospirillales; Halomonadaceae. The record is from RNAcentral.